This 2932-nucleotide ribosomal RNA is filed under the name Escherichia coli O157:H7. RNAcentral describes it as "23S ribosomal RNA". It matches the Rfam family "Bacterial large subunit ribosomal RNA". The record is from RNAcentral. Lineage: Bacteria; Pseudomonadati; Pseudomonadota; Gammaproteobacteria; Enterobacterales; Enterobacteriaceae.
GGGUUGUGAGGUUAAGCGACUAAGCGUACACGGUGGAUGCCCUGGCAGUCAGAGGCGAUGAAGGACGUGCUAAUCUGCGAUAAGCGUCGGUAAGGUGAUAUGAACCGUUAUAACCGGCGAUUUCCGAAUGGGGAAACCCAGUGUGUUUCGACACACUAUCAUUAACUGAAUCCAUAGGUUAAUGAGGCGAACCGGGGGAACUGAAACAUCUAAGUACCCCGAGGAAAAGAAAUCAACCGAGAUUCCCCCAGUAGCGGCGAGCGAACGGGGAGCAGCCCAGAGCCUGAAUCAGUGUGUGUGUUAGUGGAAGCGUCUGGAAAGGCGCGCGAUACAGGGUGACAGCCCCGUACACAAAAAUGCACAUGCUGUGAGCUCGAUGAGUAGGGCGGGACACGUGGUAUCCUGUCUGAAUAUGGGGGGACCAUCCUCCAAGGCUAAAUACUCCUGACUGACCGAUAGUGAACCAGUACCGUGAGGGAAAGGCGAAAAGAACCCCGGCGAGGGGAGUGAAAAAGAACCUGAAACCGUGUACGUACAAGCAGUGGGAGCACAGAGCAAUCUGUGUGACUGCGUACCUUUUGUAUAAUGGGUCAGCGACUUAUAUUCUGUAGCAAGGUUAACCGAAUAGGGGAGCCGAAGGGAAACCGAGUCUUAACUGGGCGUUAAGUUGCAGGGUAUAGACCCGAAACCCGGUGAUCUAGCCAUGGGCAGGUUGAAGGUUGGGUAACACUAACUGGAGGACCGAACCGACUAAUGUUGAAAAAUUAGCGGAUGACUUGUGGCUGGGGGUGAAAGGCCAAUCAAACCGGGAGAUAGCUGGUUCUCCCCGAAAGCUAUUUAGGUAGCGCCUCGUGAAUUCAUCUCCGGGGGUAGAGCACUGUUUCGGCAAGGGGGUCAUCCCGACUUACCAACCCGAUGCAAACUGCGAAUACCGGAGAAUGUUAUCACGGGAGACACACGGCGGGUGCUAACGUCCGUCGUGAAGAGGGAAACAACCCAGACCGCCAGCUAAGGUCCCAAAGUCAUGGUUAAGUGGGAAACGAUGUGGGAAGGCCCAGACAGCCAGGAUGUUGGCUUAGAAGCAGCCAUCAUUUAAAGAAAGCGUAAUAGCUCACUGGUCGAGUCGGCCUGCGCGGAAGAUGUAACGGGGCUAAACCAUGCACCGAAGCUGCGGCAGCGACACUGUGUGUUGUUGGGUAGGGGAGCGUUCUGUAAGCCUGUGAAGGUGUACUGUGAGGUAUGCUGGAGGUAUCAGAAGUGCGAAUGCUGACAUAAGUAACGAUAAAGCGGGUGAAAAGCCCGCUCGCCGGAAGACCAAGGGUUCCUGUCCAACGUUAAUCGGGGCAGGGUGAGUCGACCCCUAAGGCGAGGCCGAAAGGCGUAGUCGAUGGGAAACAGGUUAAUAUUCCUGUACUUGGUGUUACUGCGAAGGGGGGACGGAGAAGGCUAUGUUGGCCGGGCGACGGUUGUCCCGGUUUAAGCGUGUAGGCUGGUUUUCCAGGCAAAUCCGGAAAAUCAAGGCUGAGGCGUGAUGACGAGGCACUACGGUGCUGAAGCAACAAAUGCCCUGCUUCCAGGAAAAGCCUCUAAGCAUCAGGUAACAUCAAAUCGUACCCCAAACCGACACAGGUGGUCAGGUAGAGAAUACCAAGGCGCUUGAGAGAACUCGGGUGAAGGAACUAGGCAAAAUGGUGCCGUAACUUCGGGAGAAGGCACGCUGAUAUGUAGGUGAAGUCCCUCGCGGAUGGAGCUGAAAUCAGUCGAAGAUACCAGCUGGCUGCAACUGUUUAUUAAAAACACAGCACUGUGCAAACACGAAAGUGGACGUAUACGGUGUGACGCCUGCCCGGUGCCGGAAGGUUAAUUGAUGGGGUCAGCGCAAGCGAAGCUCUUGAUCGAAGCCCCGGUAAACGGCGGCCGUAACUAUAACGGUCCUAAGGUAGCGAAAUUCCUUGUCGGGUAAGUUCCGACCUGCACGAAUGGCGUAAUGAUGGCCAGGCUGUCUCCACCCGAGACUCAGUGAAAUUGAACUCGCUGUGAAGAUGCAGUGUACCCGCGGCAAGACGGAAAGACCCCGUGAACCUUUACUAUAGCUUGACACUGAACAUUGAGCCUUGAUGUGUAGGAUAGGUGGGAGGCUUUGAAGUGUGGACGCCAGUCUGCAUGGAGCCGACCUUGAAAUACCACCCUUUAAUGUUUGAUGUUCUAACGUGGACCCGUGAUCCGGGUUGCGGACAGUGUCUGGUGGGUAGUUUGACUGGGGCGGUCUCCUCCUAAAGAGUAACGGAGGAGCACGAAGGUUGGCUAAUCCUGGUCGGACAUCAGGAGGUUAGUGCAAUGGCAUAAGCCAGCUUGACUGCGAGCGUGACGGCGCGAGCAGGUGCGAAAGCAGGUCAUAGUGAUCCGGUGGUUCUGAAUGGAAGGGCCAUCGCUCAACGGAUAAAAGGUACUCCGGGGAUAACAGGCUGAUACCGCCCAAGAGUUCAUAUCGACGGCGGUGUUUGGCACCUCGAUGUCGGCUCAUCACAUCCUGGGGCUGAAGUAGGUCCCAAGGGUAUGGCUGUUCGCCAUUUAAAGUGGUACGCGAGCUGGGUUUAGAACGUCGUGAGACAGUUCGGUCCCUAUCUGCCGUGGGCGCUGGAGAACUGAGGGGGGCUGCUCCUAGUACGAGAGGACCGGAGUGGACGCAUCACUGGUGUUCGGGUUGUCAUGCCAAUGGCACUGCCCGGUAGCUAAAUGCGGAAGAGAUAAGUGCUGAAAGCAUCUAAGCACGAAACUUGCCCCGAGAUGAGUUCUCCCUGACCCUUUAAGGGUCCUGAAGGAACGUUGAAGACGACGACGUUGAUAGGCCGGGUGUGUAAGCGCAGCGAUGCGUUGAGCUAACCGGUACUAAUGAACCGUGAGGCUUAACCUUACAACGCCGAAGGUGUUU